This 491-nucleotide ribosomal RNA is filed under the name uncultured bacterium. RNAcentral's name for it is "partial 16S ribosomal RNA". It matches the Rfam family "Bacterial small subunit ribosomal RNA", at positions 29 to 506 of the family's 1533-position model. The record is from RNAcentral.
AGUGAACGCUGGCGGUAGGCCUAACACAUGCAAGUCGAACGGCAGCACAGUAAGAGCUUGCUCUUACGGGUGGCGAGUGGCGGACGGGUGAGGAAUACAUCGGAAUCUACUUUUUCGUGGGGGAUAACGUAGGGAAACUUACGCUAAUACCGCAUACGACCUACGGGUGAAAGCAGGGGAUCUUCGGACCUUGCGCGAUUGAAUGAGCCGAUGUCGGAUUAGCUAGUUGGCGGGGUAAGGGCCCACCAAGGCGACGAUCCGUAGCUGGUCUGAAAGGAUGAUCAGCCACACUGGAACUGAGACACGGUCCAGACUCCUACGGGAGGCAGCAGUGGGGAAUAUUGGACAAUGGGCGCAAGCCUGAGCCAGCCAUACCGCGUGGGUGAAGAAGGCCUUCGGGUUGUAAAGCCCUUUUGUUGGGAAAGAAAAGCAGCAGGUUAAUACCCCGCUGUUCGGACGGUACCCAAAGAAUAAACACCGGCGAACUUCGU